CAGCAACUGACUGGGUCGCACACUUCCAGUGUCUCCCUUUUCUUCUCUCUAAGAUCAAGCUGUCAUGCUUGCCAGCGUUGGACAGCCGUACUCCUUAAUCCCGCCAGCAAAUCAAGACAAUGCCAAGGUGAAUAAAGUGAGGCUCAGAAGACACAUGGCCAGUAUGGAAGAGUCAAGAUUUGGAACUCAGUCUUCUGGCUCCAAAGCAUGUGCUAUUUUCAUCAUAGCCACCAUCUCUAGAUGAUUUCAAACUCACUCCAUG
Molecule: long non-coding RNA, 262 nt
Organism: Pteronotus mesoamericanus
Lineage: Eukaryota; Metazoa; Chordata; Mammalia; Chiroptera; Mormoopidae
Exons: 3
Source: RefSeq, a predicted model, not a curated record